RNAcentral lists this ribosomal RNA (252 nucleotides) under uncultured bacterium. RNAcentral describes it as "partial 16S ribosomal RNA". It matches the Rfam family "Bacterial small subunit ribosomal RNA", at positions 524 to 776 of the family's 1533-position model. The record is from RNAcentral.
UACGGAGGAUGCGAGCGUUAUCCGGAUUUAUUGGGUUUAAAGGGUGCGUAGGCGGACUGUCAAGUCAGCGGUAAAGUACGGGGGCUCAACCUCCGCCCGCCGUUGAAACUGACGGUCUUGAGUGGGCGAGAAGUAUGCGGAAUGCGUGGUGUAGCGGUGAAAUGCAUAGAUAUCACGCAGAACUCCGAUUGCGAAGGCAGCAUACCGGCGCCCAACUGACGCUGAAGCACGAAAGCGUGGGUAUCGAACAGG